GCCUGGGUGGCUCAGUGGGUUAAGCGUCCGACUCUGGCUCAGGUCACGAUCUCGGGGUUCGUGGGUUCGAGCCCCGCAUUGGGCU
This is a non-coding RNA of Felis catus (domestic cat), 85 nucleotides long. The record is from Rfam. Lineage: Eukaryota; Metazoa; Chordata; Mammalia; Carnivora; Felidae.